RNAcentral lists this ribosomal RNA (378 nucleotides) under Parasesarma bidens (red claw crab). RNAcentral describes it as "partial 16S ribosomal RNA". Lineage: Eukaryota; Metazoa; Arthropoda; Malacostraca; Decapoda; Sesarmidae. The record is from RNAcentral.
UAGCAUAAUAGUUAGUUUCUUAAUUGGAAUCUUGUAUGAAUGGUUUGACAAGAAAAAAGCUGUCUCAGAGUUAAUUAUUGAAUUUAACUUUUAAGUGAAAAGGCUUAAAUAAAUUAAAAAGACGAUAAGACCCUAUAAAGCUUAAUAUUAUUUUAUUAUUUAAUAAAAUUUUAAAUAUAAAUAUUUAGUAAUAAUUUGUAUUUUAUUGGGGUGAUAAUGAUAAAAUGAUUAUUAACUGUUAAUUGUUAAAACAAAAAUAAAUGAAUAUAAAGUUUUUGAUAAAGGAUCCUGUAUUAGAGAUUAAAAGUUUAAGUUACUUUAGGGAUAACAGCGUUAUUUUUUUUGAGAGUUCUUAUCGAAAAAAGAGUUUGCGACCUC